Non-coding RNA from Pelodiscus sinensis (Chinese soft-shelled turtle), 1911 nucleotides. The record is from RefSeq and is a predicted model, not a curated record. NCBI's taxonomy places the organism in Eukaryota, Metazoa, Chordata, Testudines, Trionychidae.
AUUUUGUUUAGUCUCUAAGGUGCCAUGGGACCUCUCUUUGAUUUUCAAGUUACAGACUAACACAGCAACCCCUCUGAUAUUAUCCAAACUUUGAAUUCCCUUGCUUUAGUCAUUUUGCCACUACAACAUCUUAAAAUAGAAUUUGCACUGAUAUCACCAUGGGGAAACUGUCAUACCGACACUAGAAUCUGCUCAUAGAUAUUUCAGUCUUGUUGCUUGAGGCCCUGGACAGCACACACUCAAAAGCAUUGAGAGCAACACAACAAAUAUGCCACCAGUAUAUUCAGUCAUGGUCUGGCAGGAUCCACUGUAAAAUGUGAGGAUAACUGAGUCUGUCCCCCAGUCUGACUUUGGCCCUUCUGCUGAGAGUGCUAGUUAUCAUGGUGUGGUAUGUGUCUGUGUGUUGUGGCCCAUUGAUUUGUUUUUGUAACCAGGCAGAUAUGUCUACUGAGAACUGGAAUGAAAUCUAACAAUUCAUUUCACAAAGGUCACCAGAUGGUAAUUAUUUCCAGCCAUUACCUGCCUGGGCUGGAUUUGUCCAGGCACCAGUAGGUGAGACUAAGUAACCCAUUUACAAUUAUCUCAGCCACUUGGCCUCCCUCCCUGAAAUGUGGGCAAAAGAGGUCCUUCUGAUGUCGAAUACUUUCAAUAGCUAUUGUGCACAAAACUCCAAUUUAAAAAAUUGCUAAUAUUCCUCAUAUCUCUUUCCAGGCUAAAGUAGCUAAUAUCUAUGAGUCACCUGGCUUCUUUCUGGGGCUGGAGCCAAUUCCAGGAGCCAUUGAAGCCAUGAAGGAAAUGAUCCAUAUGCUGGAGUAAGGACACUAAAGUACAACUGCUUUUUUCUAUUAUCUAUGUUUCUGACAUCUACUAAUCAAGGCUGAUUUUUUUUUAAAGCACUGAUGUUUUUAUCUGCACAACUCCCCUACUGAAGUAUGAGCACUGCAUCUUAGAGAAGGCCUGGCAUAGGAGGAAUGGAGGAGGUAAAAGAACGGAUGCAAUAGAAUCAAGUAGAAGCCACUGCAUACUCCAGAGGCAAGUAUGGAGGGGUCUGAUGCACUGCAUUGCAUGCUGGAGGCUCCUCUGAGAAAAUCUUGACUAAAUCAAGAGAUCAGUGCCAGGCAGAAAUGUAGCGAGAGAGGGGAUAAUCAUGUACUUUGGGGUUAAAUAAUAAAGGGCCUAGUAUAUUCCAUAGGCUGACUUUCCUCUCAGGUUGCUUUACACAAGUGUAACUGCAUGGACUACACUGCUGGUUUUGUCUUACAGUAAGGUAAGAGAGGAGAUUGAGGCCCUAAAUGUUUGAAUAGUACUAACAAAUUGGGCACUGUCUGGGGGCUCCUGGCAGGCAGACAGGGCAGCUCUCAGCUUUGACAUGGUUUAGGUACAUAGUGCAGGGACGAGCGAAGGGCCCUGAAAGUACAGUUCACAAUAGUCCUUUCAGUGUCCAGGACAACGGCCCAAUUGCAGGGUUCAUAACGCUCCUAGGAGAGAUGUGGGCCUGCAGCAUGAGAUCACAGCGCUAGGAGUAGUCAGACUUGCUGCUAAGUACAAUUCGUCUAAUGCUCUUCUUCCUCUCCUCACAGUACCACUGGGUGGAAAAACAUCUGGGUCCUAAGUUUGUGGAGCGGCUGAUUCUGACCAGAGAUAAAACAGUUGUAUCAGCUGACCUGCUGUUUGAUGAUAAAGAGACCAUUCAAGGUGCGGAGCCUAAGCCGAGCUGGGAGCACAUCUUGUUCACUUGCUGCCAUAACAAGCACCUAGAGCUUCAGCCACCACGUAGGCGGCUGCAGUCGUGGGCCGAUGACUGGAGGGGGAUAGUGGAAAGUAAACGCAGAAGUAAGGCAGGAAAAGAAUGCUGUGCUAGUCUCAUUGCCAAUGGAGGCAGCCAAAUUGGGAACUGGCAACGAAACCCCC